GACAUAAACACCUCUGUGGCCACUACCACUGAGACUGCACUGGGUCAGAACUGAAGCCAACACAGCACUUGGUCUCACCCAAAGCCCAGUGUAACCACUACCUGGCUACUGCUUCUGUUUGCUCAAGGCCCUAGGACUCUAUAAUCAGCAGGCAGAGGAGCCUUUCCUCGUGGCCACCACCACCAGAGACUCAAGAGAGGUACUACCAGGCUAUCACAGAUAUUCACUUAAAGACCACAAGGGCUCUUCAGUCAGCCUGUGGUGAAGCCAUCAGGCCUGCGACUCACCCUUCAGGGCAAUGGGUUCCCCUUUGGCCCAGAACAUGUUGAGAAAUGCCACCCAAGAGCCAAGGCCUAGAAUCAGGGAAGUCAAUAGCCCUCUUUGUGCUCUACCCAAUGUGGCCAAGCUGGUGCCUGAAGCCAGCAUAUCUCAGAGACUCACCCAAGGCCCAUGACUAACUAUGUAGGUAUUGCUGCUGGUUCUUCAAGGCCCAAGGGCAUUUUUGUCAGCAGGUGAUUAAUCCUGCCAGACUGGCUUCUUUCCUUAAGGUAGCAAGUUCUCAUCUGGUCUAGGGUAUGUCUAGAUAUGUUGUUCAGGAGCUAGGGCCUGGAAUGGGGGACUCAUGACUCUUCCCAGUGCCCUAUCCUAAUAUGACUGAC
RNAcentral lists this long non-coding RNA (659 nucleotides) under Homo sapiens (human). RNAcentral's name for it is "HSALNT0250641". The record is from RNAcentral. Lineage: Eukaryota; Metazoa; Chordata; Mammalia; Primates; Hominidae.